RNAcentral lists this ribosomal RNA (253 nucleotides) under uncultured bacterium. RNAcentral describes it as "partial 16S ribosomal RNA". It matches the Rfam family "Bacterial small subunit ribosomal RNA", at positions 524 to 776 of the family's 1533-position model. The record is from RNAcentral.
UACGUAGGGGGCAAGCGUUGUCCGGAUUUAUUGGGCGUAAAGAGCGUGUAGGCGGCCGUACAGGUCAGCUGUGAAAACUCGAGGCUCAACCUCGAGACGUCGGUUGAAACCGUACGGCUAGAGUCCGGAAGAGGAGAGUGGAAUUCCGCGUGUAGCAGUGAAAUGCGUAGAGAUGCGGAGGAACACCGAUGGCGAAGGCAGCCCCCUGGGCCAACACUGACGCUCAGGCACGAAAGCGUGGGGAGCAAACAGG